Molecule: long non-coding RNA, 1721 nt
Organism: Acanthopagrus latus (yellowfin seabream)
Lineage: Eukaryota; Metazoa; Chordata; Actinopteri; Spariformes; Sparidae
Exons: 3
Source: RefSeq, a predicted model, not a curated record
CCUUCGUAUAGAACUGGCUUUCAACUACACUGACUGAGAUCGCACAAAUAGAUUAUUGCGACGGUAGGGGCUGAAACAAGAAGCGAUGCAGUUAAACGAAGUGGCCUGGCUGUCACAGUGAAACUGUUCUAUUCAAACCACUUUGACACGUUUCACUUGAAAACCAUCGAACUUAAUACAGGAACAUUUGUAGUGAAUGUGACACAGACGUCCUAUCAGGCAGAGGAGAACCACAACAUCACACUGGAGUGGACGUUCACAACCACAGCUGACACUCCCACAGACUUCAUUUUUAUCUUCUGUGAGAUGAAAAGUAAUCAGACAGUCUCAGCUCUGUUUCAUCUAUCUGGAGGUGUUGUGAUCCCAGAGAUUCAGGAUCAACAGUUUGUAGGACGAGUCCAGUGGGACAAAGACGUCCUCAGAGACGGACGACUCAGACUUCAUGUGUCCAGACUCAGGACUGAGGACUCAGGACAGUACCUGUGUAAUGUGAAGACAAACUAUGGUGUGGACUUUGGUGAUUGUCGGCUCAGCGUCUCUGCAGCGAGGAAUCGACCAGAACCUGAGAGACCCGACACAGAUUCACCUGAGAGACCCGACACGGUCAACUGGGGAAUGAUCGUCCUCUACUGUGGACUGACAGCAGCAGCAGCGGUUGUUGUGUUGUUUGUUCGUUUCCUUUUAUUUUUUCACUGUUCAUCUGAGAAACAGAAGUCCUGCAGAGGAUUCAGGAAAAGUUCCAUCUCAGCAGGACGAGAGAAAAAACACUUAUCAGCACUGUAAAUGAGACGGUAAAAUCACAUCGUGCCUUCAUGUUGGUCAGUAAGUGUCCUGAUAUCAGAGUCAGAGCAGAUCAACAGUGAUGGAGUUGAUGGAGGAAACGUUGUUCUUCACCUUCAGAUCUGAAAACUGCUCUGUGAGAAACAUGUUGAUGUUACAACUGUAUAUAUGUUACAUGUAUAAACUGUCUGGUCAAAAGAAACAUCAACACCUGGAGUUAACUGAGUAAACAGGUCAGAAACAUCCAUCAGAUCAUCACUGCACUGAACUCAAGAUGUUGGUGAGAAAUUAAAGCAACUCUGGACAGAAAGAAAUGUUGUGACGUGGAUCAGCUGAUCAGAACGAUGCCACAGAGAAACUGGCUGGAAUCAAAGCUAAAGAUGGUUCAACCAAAUAUUACAGAGAGUGACUUUUUUUUUGGCCAGACAGAAUGUUAGAUUUAUAUUUUUCUACAUGAUGUAUUUAUUUAAUAGGUAAAUAUGACAUCAUGAUUCAUCUCCCAUCUACUGGACUCCUGCAGGUCAUGAAGCUUCAGCUGAACUGACCAGCUUGUUGUAUGAUGUUACAGGACAUACAGGAAGUGAUGUCAUCAUAUAUUUUUAUAUCAGGAAAUUGUACAUAAAUCCAUUAAUAUGAGAGAAGUUGUUUUGUAUUAACAUGGUAUCAUUUAUAGAUGCUAUUUGUGAGAAAAGUUGAUUUUUGAGUCUGAAACUGAUGCUUUGUUAUUGUAGGACAGUUUGCAGCCAUACGUCAAACAUCAUCUAUUUUUAUAUAAACAUGAAAAAAACAUGUUUUUAUAUAAAAAGUAUAUUGUAUGACACAUGAAACCUCUUUAUAUACUGUUUCUGUUAUGUUUUUUGUUCCAUGUAUUUCAUCAUGUUCACUUUGUUCUGUUUGAAAAGCUGUGAUUUGUUAAAGAUAAAGGAUUUCUGCUUUAUUCA